This 253-nucleotide ribosomal RNA is filed under the name uncultured bacterium. RNAcentral's name for it is "partial 16S ribosomal RNA". It matches the Rfam family "Bacterial small subunit ribosomal RNA", at positions 524 to 776 of the family's 1533-position model. The record is from RNAcentral.
UACGAAGGGGGCUAGCGUUGCUCGGAAUUACUGGGCGUAAAGGGAGCGUAGGCGGAUAGUUUAGUCAGAUGUGAAAGCCCAGGGCUCAACCUUGGAAUUGCCUUUGAUACUGGCUAUCUUGAGUACGGGAGAGGUGUGUGGAACUCCGAGUGUAGAGGUGAAAUUCGUAGAUAUUGGGAGGAACACCAGUGGCGAAGGCGACACACUGGACCGUUACUGACGCUGAGGCUCGAAAGCGUGGGGAGCAAACAGG